AAAUUGAAGAGUUUGAUCAUGGCUCAGAUUGAACGCUGGCGGCAGGCCUAACACAUGCAAGUCGAACGGUAACAGGAAGCAGCUUGCUGUUUCGCUGACGAGUGGCGGACGGGUGAGUAAUGUCUGGGAAACUGCCUGAUGGAGGGGGAUAACUACUGGAAACGGUGGCUAAUACCGCAUAACGUCGCAAGACCAAAGAGGGGGACCUUCGGGCCUCUUGCCAUCAGAUGUGCCCAGAUGG
Molecule: ribosomal RNA, 241 nt
Filed under: Salmonella enterica
Lineage: Bacteria; Pseudomonadati; Pseudomonadota; Gammaproteobacteria; Enterobacterales; Enterobacteriaceae
Description: partial 16S ribosomal RNA
Rfam family: Bacterial small subunit ribosomal RNA
Source: RNAcentral